This 71-nucleotide transfer RNA is filed under the name Loxodonta africana (African savanna elephant). It matches the Rfam family "tRNA". Rfam says of the family: Transfer RNA (tRNA) molecules are approximately 80 nucleotides in length. Their secondary structure includes four short double-helical elements and three loops (D, anti-codon, and T loops). The record is from Rfam by way of RNAcentral. Lineage: Eukaryota; Metazoa; Chordata; Mammalia; Proboscidea; Elephantidae.
ACAUUGGUGGUUCAGUGGUAGAAUUCUCACCUUCCGUGCAGGAGACCUGGGUUUGAUUCCUAGCCAGUGCA